This 406-nucleotide ribosomal RNA is filed under the name uncultured bacterium. RNAcentral describes it as "partial 16S ribosomal RNA". It matches the Rfam family "Bacterial small subunit ribosomal RNA", at positions 29 to 526 of the family's 1533-position model. The record is from RNAcentral.
AUUGAACGCUGGCGGCAGGCCUAACACAUGCAAGUCGAGCGAGCGGCGGACGGGUGAGUAAUGUCUGGGAAACUGCCUGAUGGAGGGGGAUAACGACGGGAAACUGUCGCUAAUACCGCGUACCAUAGGAUGAGCCCAAGUGGGAUUAGCUGGUUGGUGGGGUAAAGGCCCACCAAGGCGACGAUCAGUAGCGGGUCUGAGAGGAUGAUCCGCCACACUGGGACUGAGACACGGCCCAGACUCCUACGGGAGGCAGCAGUGGGGAAUUUUGGACAAUGGGCGCAAGCCUGAUCCAGCCAUGCCGCGUGUGUGAAGAAGGCCUUCGGGUUGUAAAGGACUUUUGUCAGGGAAGCGGUACCUGAAGAAUAAGCACCGGCUAACUACGUGCCAGCAGCCGCGGUAAUAC